AGUGGCGCACGGGUGCGUAACGCGUGGGAACCUGCCUUUAGGUUCGGAAUAACUCAGAGAAAUUUGAGCUAAUACCGGAUAAUGUCUUCGGACCAAAGAUUUAUCGCCUUUACAUGGGCCCGCGUUAGAUUAGAUAGUUGGUGGGGUAACGGCCUACCAAGUCGACGAUCUAUAGCUGGUCUGAGAGGAUGAUCAGCCACACUGGGACUGAGACACGGCCCAGACUCCUACGGGAGGCAGCAGUGGGGAAUAUUGGACAAUGGGCGAAAGCCUGAUCCAGCAAUGCCGCGUGAGUGAUGAAGGCCUUAGGGUUGUAAAGCUCUUUUACUAGGGAUGAUAAUGACAGUACCUAGAGAAUAAGCUCCGGCUAACUCCGUGCCAGCAGCCGCGGUAAUACGGAGGGAGCUAGCGU
This 412-nucleotide ribosomal RNA is filed under the name uncultured bacterium. RNAcentral describes it as "bacterial SSU rRNA". It matches the Rfam family "Bacterial small subunit ribosomal RNA", at positions 94 to 541 of the family's 1533-position model. The record is from RNAcentral.